GUGCUUGCUUUGGCAGCACAUACACUAAAACUGGACGGAUACAUAGAUUAGCCUGGGCCUGUUCAAGGAUGACCCACAAAUUUAUGAAGCAUUGCAUAUUUUU
Molecule: small nuclear RNA, 103 nt
Organism: Ursus americanus (American black bear)
Lineage: Eukaryota; Metazoa; Chordata; Mammalia; Carnivora; Ursidae
Source: Ensembl